GAUGAACGCUGGCGGCGUGCCUAAUACAUGCAAGUCGAGCGAACAGACGAGGAGCUUGCUCCUCUGACGUUAGCGGCGGACGGGUGAGUAACACGUGGAUAACCUACCUAUAAGACUGGGAUAACUUCGGGAAACCGGAGCUAAUACCGGAUAAUAUAUUGAACCGCAUGGUUCAAUAGUGAAAGACGGUUUUGCUGUCACUUAUAGAUGGAUCCGCGCCGCAUUAGCUAGUUGGUAAGGUAACGGCUUACCAAGGCGACGAUGCGUAGCCGACCUGAGAGGGUGAUCGGCCACCCUGGAACUUAGACACGGUCCAGGCUCCUAAGGGAGGCCGCCGGAGGGAAUCUUCCGCAAUGGGCGAAAGCCUGACGGAGCAACGCCGCGUGAGUGAUGAAGGUCUUCGGAUCGUAAAACUCUGUUAUUAGGGAAGAACAAAUGUGUAAGUAACUAUGCACGUCUUGACGGUACCUAAUCAGAAAGCCACGGCUAACUACGUG
Molecule: ribosomal RNA, 497 nt
Filed under: uncultured bacterium
Lineage: Bacteria
Description: partial 16S ribosomal RNA
Rfam family: Bacterial small subunit ribosomal RNA
Source: RNAcentral